Molecule: non-coding RNA, 1175 nt
Filed under: Erinaceus europaeus (western European hedgehog)
Lineage: Eukaryota; Metazoa; Chordata; Mammalia; Eulipotyphla; Erinaceidae
Description: Eukaryotic small subunit ribosomal RNA
Rfam family: Eukaryotic small subunit ribosomal RNA
Source: Rfam by way of RNAcentral
AACAAAGCUGCUCCUGGUGCCGACCUCGGACCCCAGCAAGUGGCCCUCUUUUAUAGGAGAGAUGCUGAGGAAUUAAAAACUGCUUGUUUUUCUCAUACCACUUUUGGUAAACUGCUUGUUUUUCUCAUACCACUUUCCCAAGAACUGGUCCUCCCUGUUCCUGUGAAUUGUGAUUCCGGGAACAAUGCUAGCUUAGGGCUUCCAACUCCUAACACCUGGAUACCACAGCUAGGAGUAAUGGAAUAGGACUGUAGUUCUAUUUUGUUGGCUUUUGGAACUGAGGCCAUGAUUAAGAGUGAUGGCCGGGGGCAUUUGUAUUGCGCUGCUAGCACAAGGACCAGAACGAAAGUAUCUGCCAAGAAUGUUUUCAUUAAUCAAGAAUGAAAGUUGGAGGUUUGUCAUAGUUCCAACCAUAAUGAUGCUGACUGGCAAUGCGGCAGCAUUAUUCCCAUGACCCACUGGGCAGCUUCCAGGAAACCAAAGUCUUUGGGUUCUGGGGGGAGUAUGGUUGCAAAGCUGAAACUUUUAAAGGAAUUGACAGAUGGGCAUCACCAGGAGUGAAGCCUGCGGCUUAAUUGUGUUAACACAGGAAACCUCACCCGGCCUGGACACGGAUAGGAUUGACAUACUGAUAGCUCUUUCUUGAUGUCCUGGGUGGUGGUGCAUGACCAUUCUUGGUGGAGUGAUAUGUCUGGUUAAUUCCGAUAACAAAUGAGACUGGCAUGCUAACUAGUUACACGACCCUGAACGGUCGGCAUCCCCCAACUUCUUAGAGGGACAAGUGGCGUUCAGCCACCCGAGAUUGAGCAAUAACAGGUCUGUGAUGCCCUUAGAUGUCCGGGGCUGCACGCGCGCUACACUGACUGGCUCAGCGUGUGCCUACCCUACGCCGGCAGGCGCGGGUAACCCGUUGAACCCCAUUCGUGAUGGGGAUCAGGGAUUGCAAUUAUUCCCCAUGAACGAGGAAUUCCCAGUAAGUGAGGGUCAUACGCUGACAUUAAGUCCCUGCCCUUCGCUACUACUGAUUUGGAUGGUUUAGUGAGGCCCUCGGAUUGCCCCACCAGGGUCAGCCCAUGGCUAUGGCAGAGCGCUGAGAAGAUGGUCGAACUUGACUAUCUAGAGGAAGUAAAAGUCAUAACAAGGUUUCCGUAGGUGAACCUGCAGAAGGAUCAUUA